RNAcentral lists this transfer RNA (91 nucleotides) under Canis lupus familiaris (dog). It matches the Rfam family "tRNA". From Rfam's summary of the family: Transfer RNA (tRNA) molecules are approximately 80 nucleotides in length. Their secondary structure includes four short double-helical elements and three loops (D, anti-codon, and T loops). Lineage: Eukaryota; Metazoa; Chordata; Mammalia; Carnivora; Canidae. The record is from Rfam by way of RNAcentral. RNAcentral also lists the same sequence under 1 other name.
ACCUAGGUGGCUCAAUGGUUGAGCAUCUGCCUUUGGCUCAGAUCAUGAUCCCAAUUGAGUCCCACUUUGGGAUUGAGUCCCACUUUGGGUU